RNAcentral lists this ribosomal RNA (458 nucleotides) under uncultured bacterium. RNAcentral's name for it is "partial 16S ribosomal RNA". It matches the Rfam family "Bacterial small subunit ribosomal RNA", at positions 338 to 795 of the family's 1533-position model. The record is from RNAcentral.
CCUACGGGAGGCAGCAGUGAGGAAUAUUGGUCAAUGGGCGAGAGCCUGAACCAGCCAAGUCGCGUGAGGGAGUACUGCCCUAUGGGUUGUAAACCUCUUUUGUCGGGGAGCAAAAGCCGGACGUGUCCGUCUGUUAGAGUACCCGAAUAAAAAGCAUCGGCAAACUCCGUGCCAGCGGCCGCGGUAAUAGCGGGGAUUCGAGCGUUAUCCGGGUUUAUUGGGUUUAAAGGGUGCGCAGGCGGAUUUUUAAGUCAGCGGUAAAAUUGUGGGGCUCAACCCCAUCCAGCCGUUGAAACUGGGGAUCUAGAGUGUGCGUGAGGUAUGCGGAAUGCGUGGUGUAGCGGUGAAAUGCAUAGAUAUCACGCAGAACCCCGAUUGCGAAGGCAGCAUACCGGUGCACAACUGACGCUCAGGCACGAAAGCGUGGGUAUCGAACAGGAUUAGAUACCCCUGUAGUC